CGAACACUGACGGCGUGCUUAAUACAUGCAAGUCGAACGGGAACGCAUCCUUCGGGGUGUUAGUAUAGUGGCGAACGGGUGAGUAACGCGUAAACAAUCUGCCUUUCAGUUGGGGAUAACCCGUCUAACGACGGGCUAAUACCGAAUAGCAUUAGAUAGUCGCAUGGCUAACUGAUAAAAGGGGCUUGCCUCGCUGGAAGAUGAGUUUGCGUACUAUUAGUUUGUUGGUGAGGUAACGGCUCACCAAGACGAUGAUAGUUAGCCGGCCUGAGAGGGCGAUCGGCCACAUUGGGACUGAGAUACGGCCCAGACUCCUACGGGAGGCAGCAGUAGGGAAUUUUGCGCAAUGGACGAAAGUCUGACGCAGCAACGCCGUGUGAGUGAUGACGGUCUUCGGACUGUAAAGCUCUGUCAGGAGGGAAGAACUUGUCUGGUAACCCCAGGCAUUGACGGUACCUCCAAAGGAAGCUCCGGCUAACUCCGUGCCAGCAGCCGCGGUAAUACGGGGGGAGCUAGUGUUGUUCGGAUUUACUGGGCGUAAAGGGAGCGUAGGCGGAAGAUUAAGUUAGGAGUGAAAUUUCGGGGCUCAACCCUGAACUUGCUUUUGAUACUGGUUUUCUUGAGUAUGGAAGAGGGUGAUGGAAUUCCUGGUGUAGCGGUGGAAUGCGUAGAUAUCAGGAGGAACACCGAUUGCGAAGGCAGUCACCUGGGACAAUACUGACGCUGAGGCUCGAAAGUGUGGGGAGCAAACAGGAUUAGAUACCCUGGUAGUCCGCACUGUAAACGAUGGAUACUAGGUAUUGGGGGAGUCAAUCCCUCCAGUGCCGACGCUAACGCAUUAAGUAUCCCGCCUGGGGAGUACGGUCGCAAGGCUGAAACUCAAAGAAAUUGACGGGGGCCCGCACAAGCGGUGGAGCAUGUGGUUUAAUUCGAUGAUACGCGAAGAACCUUACCUGGGUUUGACAUGGGGGUGACCGGUGCAGAGAUGUACCUUUUUCUUCGGAAACACCCUACACAGGUGCUGCAUGGUUGUCGUCAGCUCGUGUCGUGAGAUGUUGGGUUAAGUCCCGCAACGAGCGCAACCCUUGUCCAGUGUUACCAGCGGAUAAUGCCGGGGACUCACUGGAGACUGCCACAUUUUUGUGGAGGAAGGUGGGGAUGACGUCAAAUCAUCAUGGCCCUUACGCCCAGGGCUACACACGUGCUACAAUGGAUGGUACAGAGGGUUGCAAUACUGCAAAGUGGGGCUAAUCUCAAAAAACCAUUCUCAGUUCGGAUUGGAGUCUGCAAUUCGACUUCAUGAAGUUGGAAUCGCUAGUAAUCGCGGAUCAGCAAUGCCGCGGUGAAUACGUUAUCGGGCCUUGUACACACCGCCCGUCAAGCCAUGAAAGCCGGGAGCACUCGCAGUGGUUGCCUUAACCUUCGGGAGGGCGCCCCUAAAGUGAUACUGGUAAUUGGGGCUAAGUCGAAACAAGGUA
Molecule: ribosomal RNA, 1478 nt
Filed under: metagenome
Description: bacterial SSU rRNA
Rfam family: Bacterial small subunit ribosomal RNA
Source: RNAcentral